Molecule: long non-coding RNA, 218 nt
Filed under: Phoenix dactylifera (date palm)
Lineage: Eukaryota; Viridiplantae; Streptophyta; Magnoliopsida; Arecales; Arecaceae
Description: long non-coding RNA (PDAC_LNC011240)
Source: RNAcentral
CCUCCUCCAACCCAAAGAAAUACAGCUUUUGAGGAGAAAGUGUUGACUGCCCUUCAAGGUUUGGAGGCAAACACACAACUAUUGCACUCUCACAUGCAAUCAAUUGCUAAGCUAGAAUCCCAAAUAGGUCAACUAGCCAAUGCAUUAAACAGGCGAGAGGAAGGUAAGCUUUCAAGUCAACCAAUGAGUAAUCCUAGGGGACAAUACGUGGCUCAAGA